Molecule: ribosomal RNA, 545 nt
Filed under: uncultured bacterium
Lineage: Bacteria
Description: partial 16S ribosomal RNA
Rfam family: Bacterial small subunit ribosomal RNA
Source: RNAcentral
UGGGGAAUUUUGGACAAUGGGCGAAAGCCUGAUCCAGCAAUGCCGCGUGUGUGAAGAAGGCCUUCGGGUUGUAAAGCACUUUUGUCCGGAAAGAAAUCCUUGGCUCUAAUACAGUCGGGGGAUGACGGUACCGGAAGAAUAAGCACCGGCUAACUACGUGCCAGCAGCCGCGGUAAUACGUAGGGUGCAAGCGUUAAUCGGAAUUACUGGGCGUAAAGCGUGCGCAGGCGGUUUGCUAAGACCGAUGUGAAAUCCCCGGGCUAACCUGGGAACUGCAUUGGUGACUGGCAGGCUAGAGUAUGGCAGAGGGGGGUAGAAUUCCACGUGUAGCAGUGAAAAUGCGUAGAGAUGUGGAGGAAUACCGAUGGNGAAGGCAGCCCCCUGGGCCAAUACUGACGCUCAUGCACGAAAAGGCGUGGGGGAGCAAAACAGGAUUAGAUACCCCUGGUAGUCCACGCCCUAAACGAUGUCAACUAGUUNUUGGGGAUUCAUUUCCUUAGUAACGUAGCUAACGCGUGAAGUUGACCGCCUGGGGAGUACGGUCG